GUGGGGGGGCAGCUGCUCUGCGGAGCGGGGAGAGACCUGACGCCGAGGCCGCCUCUUCCUCACGGGACGGCAGCCCGGCGGUGUCCGCGACAGGCAGCUACCGGGCCCCAGCAGUGCCGCCCUGGCGGUUGUAACGGAAGCUCGCUGUUAAAGGAAAUGGGUCCCGUCUUUUGGAGGUGACUGAGGUCUUCUGGCUUUGAAUAACUUUCGACAGCCUGACUGGGCACUCCUGCUGGAUAGUCUGGUUACCUUUCACAGACCUCUUAAAAGUAGUCCAACGACUGCAAGUGAAGGCCACUACUUUAGAGGGAUCUUUAUGCACACCACAGAAGGAGGUCUACAACUCCAGAGCCUCUUGUUUGGUUCCCUUUUUGCUGUAGAGGUACAUAUUCAACCCUUCUCACUCUUUAACAUUCUCAAUUCAGAGGUCCCUGCUCUGUAUUUCUCUCUCUGAUGCAAAGACUAGAUAUACCCGCACUUCUUUCUUACAAACACCAAACAAUUCAUCUGGAGCGUUUGCCCCUCAAGUUGGUUAAUCAAUUUUACGUAUGAAAAAGGACACAAAUGGCCCCAUAUUAUAGCUGUGUCCAGACAGUCCAAAAUUCUAAUUCAGUAGCAAAACUAGGCACAGACUCUAGUUCUUUGGAAUCAUCAUUUCUUUUCUUCCAGUUCUUUUUCUUUUUUUUUUUCUUCAGUCAUUACAGAUACUCCAUGAAAUUGAAAUGUUUGUUGGACCAAGUCACUACUUUGUAAGGCAGGAGAUGCUCUACUAUACAGAAACAAGAAACCAUGCACAUAAACUUAGUCUGUGGCACCUGAAAAGGAGAUUGAACAGCAAUGAUCACUUCAAAAUCGAGCUAAGAAGAGAAAACAGAUUCAAUAAAGGAGAAGUGCUACUGCCUUUCAGCAAAGAUAAAAGACGCAAUCUAAGACAGAGUCGAGUCGUUGUCAAGGACAUCGUGGGCACAGGUUGACAAGAACAAAUGGACUGGAAUCAUGAAGAAAAUACAAGGUUUAAGAAUUCAGGUUGCUGAAAAGGAAAGACCAUGUCAUCUUCUUAGAGAGUAUCCCAAUCUUGUGAGUGAAAAUUAAAUAAUUGAACCAUU
Long non-coding RNA from Dromaius novaehollandiae (emu), 1106 nucleotides. RefSeq lists it as uncharacterized. NCBI's taxonomy places the organism in Eukaryota, Metazoa, Chordata, Aves, Casuariiformes, Dromaiidae. The record is from RefSeq and is a predicted model, not a curated record. The transcript is spliced from 4 exons.